UUGCCAUCAGCCGCGGUAAUACGUAGGGGGCAAGCGUUGUCCGGAAUUAUUGGGCGUAAAGCGCGUGUAUGCGGCUUGGUAAGUCUGGUGUGAAAACUUGGGGCUGAACCCCAAGCCUGCAUCGGAUACUGCUUGGCUAGAGUCCGGGAGGGGAGAGCGGAAUUCCCAGUGUAAGGUGAAAUGCUCAGAUAUUGGGAAGAACACCGGUGGCGAAGGCGGCUCUCUGGAACGGUACUGACGCUGAAACGCGAAAGCGUGGGGAGCUAACAUGAUUAGAUACCCUGGUAGUCCACGCCGUAAACGAUGGGCACUAGAUGUGGGCGGUGUCGACUCCGUCCGUGUCGAAUCUAACGCAUUAUGUGCCCCGCCUGGGGAGUACGGCCGCACGGCUAAAACUCAAAGGAAUUGACGGGGGCCGGCACAAGCAGCGGAGCAUGUGGUUUAAUUCGACGCAACGCGAAGAACCUUACCCUGGGGCUUGACAUGUUGGGUGAAAAUCCUGGUAAACGGGAUCCCUCUUCGGA
Molecule: ribosomal RNA, 524 nt
Filed under: uncultured bacterium
Lineage: Bacteria
Description: bacterial SSU rRNA
Rfam family: Bacterial small subunit ribosomal RNA
Source: RNAcentral